RNAcentral lists this ribosomal RNA (517 nucleotides) under uncultured microorganism. Its description in RNAcentral is "bacterial SSU rRNA". It matches the Rfam family "Bacterial small subunit ribosomal RNA", at positions 9 to 507 of the family's 1533-position model. The record is from RNAcentral.
GAGUUUGAUCGUGGCUCAGGAUGAACGCUGGCGGCGUGCCUAAUACAUGCAAGUCGAGCGAACGGACGAGAAGCUUGCUUCUCUGAUGUUAGCGGCGGACGGGUGAGUAACACGUGGAUAACCUACCUAUAAGACUGGGAUAACUUCGGGAAACCGGAGCUAAUACCGGAUAAUAUUUUGAACCGCAUGGUUCAAAAGUAAAAGACGGUCUUGCUGUCACUUAUAGAUGGAUCCGCGCUGCAUUAGCUAGUUGGUAAGGUAACGGCUUACCAAGGCAACGAUGCAUAGCCGACCUGAGAGGGUGAUCGGCCACACUGGAACUGAGACACGGUCCAGACUCCUACGGGAGGCAGCAGUAGGGAAUCUUCCGCAAUGGGCGAAAGCCUGACGGAGCAACGCCGCGUGAGUGAUGAAGGUCUUCGGAUCGUAAAACUCUGUUAUUAGGGAAGAACAUAUGUGUAAGUAACUGUGCACAUCUUGACGGUACCUAACUCAGAAAGCCACGGCUAACUACGUG